CGCCUGUUUAUCAAAAACAUGUCUUUUUGAUAAUUAUUUAAGGUCUAGCCUGCUCAAUGAUUAUUUAAAUAGCUGCAGUAUCUUGACUGUACAAAGGUAGCAUAAUCAUUAGUUUUUUAAUUGAAAGCUGGAAUGAAUGGCUGAAUAAGGAAAUGACUGUCUCUUUUUAAUUAAUUUGAACUUUAUUUUUAAGUUAAAAAGCUUAAAUUUAAUAAAAAGACGAGAAGACCCUAUAGAGUUUAAUAGGUUUAUAUUUUUAUAAUUUAGGAUUCUAUUAUAUAAUAAUGUUAACUUAUUUAGUUGGGGUGACUAUAGAAUUUAAUAAACUUCAUUUUUGUAAUCACUGAUUUAUGAAUAAAUGAUCCUAGUGUUUAGAUUAAAAGAAUAAAUUACCUUAGGGAUAACAGCGUAAUUUUUUUGGAGAGUUCUUAUCGAUAAAAGAGAUUGCGACCUCGAUGUUGGAUUAAAGUUUAUUUUUGGUGUAAAAGCUAAAAUAUUAAGUCUGUUCGACUUUUAAAACUUUACGUGAUCUGAGUUUAGACCGG
RNAcentral lists this ribosomal RNA (545 nucleotides) under Zonitis flava. RNAcentral's name for it is "partial 16S ribosomal RNA". It matches the Rfam family "Bacterial large subunit ribosomal RNA", at positions 1797 to 2619 of the family's 2925-position model. Lineage: Eukaryota; Metazoa; Arthropoda; Insecta; Coleoptera; Meloidae. The record is from RNAcentral.